This is a long non-coding RNA of Photinus pyralis (common eastern firefly), 224 nucleotides long. RefSeq lists it as uncharacterized. The transcript is spliced from 2 exons. The record is from RefSeq and is a predicted model, not a curated record. Lineage: Eukaryota; Metazoa; Arthropoda; Insecta; Coleoptera; Lampyridae.
UGAAGUGUUGACGUCGCCUUUAAAGAAUCGUCCUCGCCUUAAGCCUGUGACAGAUGUAUCUAAUUUGAACGUCGAUGGUAUUAGAAACACAAUUUAUGAAAUGUACGAAAACAAAGUGCAUGUUACAUUGGCAUCUGUGCAUGAACAGCUUCGUGAAAAAGUCAUUUUUCAUGGUUCAUUGGCAUCAUUGCGAACAGUGCUAAAAGAAAUUGGAUUUAAAUGGA